CCUACGGGUGGCAGCAGUGGGGAAUAUUGCGCAAUGGGCGAAAGCCUGACGCAGCGACGCCGCGUGAGGGAUGAAGGUCUUCGGAUCGUAAACCUCUGUCAGCAGGGAAGAACGGUCACUGUGCUAAUCAGCAGUGAAUUGACGGUACCUGCAAAGGAAGCACCGGCUAACUCCGUGCCAGCAGCCGCGGUAAUACGGAGGGUGCGAGCGUUAAUCGGAAUUACUGGGCGUAAAGCGCUCGUAGGCGGUAUGUCAAGUCAAGGGUGAAAUCCCCGCGCUGAACGUGGGAACUGCCUUUGAAACUGGCAAACUGGAGAGUGUGAGAGGAUAGUGGAAUGCCAGGUGUAGGAGUGAAAGCCGUAGAUAUCUGGAGGAACAUCAGUGGCGAAGGCGACUAUCUGGCACAUAACUGACGCUGAGGAGCGAAAGCGUGGGUAGCAAACAGGAUUAGAUACCCUUGUAGUC
This 465-nucleotide ribosomal RNA is filed under the name uncultured bacterium. Its description in RNAcentral is "partial 16S ribosomal RNA". It matches the Rfam family "Bacterial small subunit ribosomal RNA", at positions 338 to 795 of the family's 1533-position model. The record is from RNAcentral.